CGCGGCCUAUCAGCUUGUUGGUGAGGUAAUGGCUCACCAAGGCGACGACGGGUAGCCGGCCUGAGAGGGCGACCGGCCACACUGGGACUGAGACACGGCCCAGACUCCUACGGGAGGCAGCAGUGGGGAAUAUUGGGCAAUGGACGCAAGUCUGACCCAGCGACGCCGCGUGCGGGAUGAAGGCCUUCAGGUUGUAAACCGCUUUCAGCAGGGAAGAAGCGAAAGUGACGGUACCUGCAAAAGAAGCACCGGCUAACUAUGUGCCAGCAGCCGCGGUAAUACAUAGGGUGCAAGCGUUGUCCGGAAUUAUUGGGCGUAAAGAGCUCGUAGGUGGUUAGUUACGUCGGGUGUGAAACUCUGGGGCUCAACCCCAGACCUGCACUCGAUACGGGCUAGCUAGAGUUUGGUAGGGGAGACUGGAAUUCCUGGUGUAGCGUGGAAUGCGCAGAUAUCAGGAGGAACACCAAUGGCGAAGGCAGGUCUCUGGGCCAAUACUGACACUGAGGAGCGUAAGCGCGGGGAGCGAACAGGAUUAGAUACCCUGGUAGUCCGCGCCGUAAACGGUGGGCGCUAGUUGUGGGGACCUUCCACGGUCUCUGCGACGCAGCUAACGCAUUAAGCGCCCCGCCUGGGGAGU
This 637-nucleotide ribosomal RNA is filed under the name uncultured bacterium. RNAcentral's name for it is "bacterial SSU rRNA". It matches the Rfam family "Bacterial small subunit ribosomal RNA", at positions 232 to 881 of the family's 1533-position model. The record is from RNAcentral.